UAAAGGCCUCAGUGUGAUUUAU
RNAcentral lists this non-coding RNA (22 nucleotides) under Arabidopsis thaliana (thale cress). The record is from RNAcentral. Lineage: Eukaryota; Viridiplantae; Streptophyta; Magnoliopsida; Brassicales; Brassicaceae.